AAACUUAAAGGAAUUGACGGGGACCCGCACAAGCAGCGGAGCAUGUGGUUUAAUUCGAAGCAACGCGAAGAACCUUACCAAGGUUUGACAUCCCCUUGACAGAAGCAGAGAUGUUUCCUCCCCUUCGGGGGCAAGGGAGACAGGUGGUGCAUGGUUGUCGUCAGCUCGUGUCGUGAGAUGUUGGGUUAAGUCCCGCAACGAGCGCAACCCUUAUCCUUAGUUGCCAGCAGGUUAAGCUGGGCACUCUAAGGAGACUGCCGGUGAUAAACCGGAGGAAGGUGGGGAUGACGUCAAAUCAUCAUGCCCCUUAUAUCUUGGGCUACACACGUGCUACAAUGGUCGGUACAAAGGGAAGCGAAAGAGUGAUCUGGAGCAAAUCUUCAUAAACCGAUCCCAGUUCGGAUUGUAGGCUGCAACUCGCCUACAUGAAGUUGGAGUUGCUAGUAAUCGCGAAUCAGAACGUCGCGGUGAAUGCGUUCCCGGGUCUUGUACACACCGCCCGUCACACCAUGGAAGUUGGUAAUACCCAAAGUCGCUGAGCUAACCGCAAGGGGGCAGGCGCCUAAGGUAGGAUC
RNAcentral lists this ribosomal RNA (575 nucleotides) under uncultured Sedimentibacter sp. Its description in RNAcentral is "bacterial SSU rRNA". It matches the Rfam family "Bacterial small subunit ribosomal RNA", at positions 897 to 1469 of the family's 1533-position model. Lineage: Bacteria; Bacillati; Bacillota; Tissierellia. The record is from RNAcentral.